RNAcentral lists this long non-coding RNA (2889 nucleotides) under Marmota monax (woodchuck). The record is from RNAcentral. Lineage: Eukaryota; Metazoa; Chordata; Mammalia; Rodentia; Sciuridae.
CUUCCGUUGGCAUUCACCAUGCACCAGGUAUAUGACAAGCACUGCAAUAGGCACUGUGACACACGGGGACAGAGUCACGGACACCUGAUCUUUAAUGUGUGUUCCCAACUUAUACAGUGUUUAUGACAACAAGAUUGGAUGGCUUAAUAGCUUUGAACUCACCAUGUGACCCCCUUGCAGCCAGGAUACCUUGCCUCCUAGUAUUGUAUUUACCUCCAACCCAACAGUUAAAUGCCAUUCAGCCCUUAAAGUUCAUUUCAUGUGUCAUCUUCUUCAAGACAUGUAUCUUCUUCUCCAUAAUCAGAUGCACAUCUUUGAAGUUUAAUGAUAACUGCCUAUGGAAGUUGCAUUAUUUAUUAAUAAUUAUUCUCAGUCCUCUAGGCCUUAAAGUCUGCAAGGGUUGUGAUUAUAUCUCACACAUGCUUAUGCCACUUACAGUGCAAUAUAAAUAAUUUGUUUAUAUAAGAGCUCUACAACUUUUUUAAUGCUUGAAUAUCAUCAACUUUAUUGUUCUUCUUAGAAUUUUUUAUCACAGUGACAUUCACAUUUCAUCAGUCCAGUAUCAUCUAAAGAUGGGUAAAGAUGUUGUGUACCCACCACCUUUAUCGAGUUCCCAAAAGUUUUCAUUGCCCCCAAAGAAAUCCCCAUAUCUACUAAGCAGCAAAUCCUUAUCCCUUCCUCCCUCCAGUCUCUGGCAACCCUGAAUCUGCUUUCUGUCUCCAUGGAUUUACCUAUUCUGCAUUUUUCAUGUAAAUUGAAUCAUAUAAUAUGUGACCUUUUAUGUCUGGCUUCUUCACUUAGUGUGAUGUUUUCUAGGUUAAUUAAUGUUAUAGUAUAUACCUGUCUUUUAUUCCUUUUUAUUACUGAAUAAUAUUCUAUUACACGAGUAUAACACAGUUGUUUUAUUCACUCAUCCAGUGAUGUGAAUUUGGAUUUUUAACCCCUUUGGCUAUUUUUAAAUAGUGCUGCUAUGAAAAUGCAUUCAUGUAAAUUUGCUUGAAUACCAGUUUCCCAUCAUUCCCAUAUAUCUGCAUUUAUACAUAUCUAGGAAUGGAAUUGUUGGUCAUAGGGUAGUUUUAGCUUUUUUAAGAAGCAUGCAUUGGUUCCUCAAACACAAUUGCAUUGGCUGAACCAUGUAACAUUCUUACCAGCAAUGUAUGAGAGUUCAAUUUCUCUGCAUAUCCUCACCAACACCUUAUUUCCUGUUUUUUUCCUUUAUUUAAAAAUUAUGAUCAUGCUAAUAGGUAUGAAGUGGUCUCUCAUGGUGGGUUGUUUGUUUUUGUUUUGUUUGUUUGUUUUGUAGUUCUUUGGCAAUUUCUGAAAGACUAAUGAUAUAGAACAUCUUCUCUUGUGCUUUUUGGCCAUUGAAAUGGUGUGUCCCCAAAAGCUCAUAAGUUAGAAAAUGCAGGAAUGAUCAAAGGUGAAAGGAUUAGAUUAUAAUCCUCAUUGGUGGAUUGAUUCAUUUGAUGGAUCAAUAAUUUGAAAGUUAUACUAUACUGUAGUCAGGUGAGGGGGAGUGUCCUCAUAGUAUAUGUUGCCCCUGGCUCCUAGAUCUCUCUGUUACUUUCUGCUAACAUGACCUGAGCACCUUUGCUCUGCCGUAUCCUUCCACCAUAAUGCUCUGCUUCAUCUCAGGUCGGGAGCACUGGAGUUGGCUAACCAUAGACUGAGACUGUGAAACUGUGAGCCAAAAGAAAAUUGCCUCUCUGUCAUUCUGGUCAGAUAUUUUUGCCAUAGCAAUGAAAAACUAACAAGAAUGUCCACAGCUGAUUGCACUGAUCUUAAAAUAUAUGGUCCAGCCUAGUUAGAAGACCUGUCUCUGAUGAUCAGCUUUGAUAGUUUUCCAUUGCUUUUAGGAUACAGUUUUAGGCUCCUUUAGAAGAGCUAACAAGGUAGUUCUUGAUUUAACCUAUUCUCCUCUCUCCCAUUUGCCCUUUCUCAAUGGUACCCUUUACUCUAGCCUUACAGAAUUAUUUGUAGUUUCCUGACUAUUCCAAAAGAGGAAGGGGUGGAGUCCUAAAUAUUCCCUUCAAAGACAUACCACCAAUGGCUUAACUUCUUUCCACUAGGAGCCCCAUGGGCCUUUGGGCGACAUCCCAGAUUCAAAAUACAGCACCAUCUCCUCCCUAGAAACCCCUUCCCUUCUACUCUUCCCCUUCCUACCAACAUUCUUACUCUCCCACCCUAUCCCCAGCUAACCUUCACUAUUCAUUGCCAAGGUUGAAGACUCCACCUGUGUGAUUAAAUACUUUGCAGCAGAAGCAUUUAGUGCACUGGAUUAAUAUGAGCUGCUCCCCAUCUGCCUGCACUAGUUUGGAAACUUCCUGAGGGUGGGAUUUCUUAUACCUAGGAAAUAUACAGGAUUUCCUACACCUAGCUCCAGAUCAGGCUGUGUCAUCCAUGAGGCCCAGUACAAAAUGCAAAUAAAAGGCUCUUGUUCAGAUUUCAGAAUGUGGACAGCAGAGUGUCAAAUCAAGGGGACCACAAAUGUUGGAAGCAGGCUGCACCUAGAAAUGUUAAUCAUGCAAAGAAUGCCCACUGUGGAUUUUAUCACAGUAAAUAAAGACCUACUGAUAUUUGAGAUAACAUUGUAAUUUUCUAAUCCUUGGUUGAAAGGCGAAAGAGAAACCACAUUUUUUUUUCUGAUUAGUUUUUCAACAGGAUGUCAAAAUGCUAAACUUUCUGUCUCAGUUUUGCCUAUACACAGAGGUUAAGAGUAAACCAACCACAAAACUGAGGCUAUUCACUUGUUGUGCAAGGGCACCAUCAGCAAUUCUCUGAGUGGUUUGCUGAGAGGGAAAAGUCUGGAAUGUUUUAAAGGCUCUACAGGGAGACCUCAUGCAUGACUGUGUUAAUACAAUAGUGUAAUCCAGCGCUCUGGUCAGGACA